UGGGUUGUUAGCUCAGACAGGUAGAGCAAUUGGCUUUUAACCAAUUGGCCGUAGGUUCAAAUCCUACACAACUCAA
RNAcentral lists this transfer RNA (76 nucleotides) under Candidatus Carsonella ruddii (Diaphorina cf. continua). RNAcentral's name for it is "tRNA-Lys". It matches the Rfam family "tRNA". Rfam says of the family: Transfer RNA (tRNA) molecules are approximately 80 nucleotides in length. Their secondary structure includes four short double-helical elements and three loops (D, anti-codon, and T loops). Further hydrogen bonds mediate the characteristic L-shaped molecular structure. tRNAs have two regions of fundamental functional importance: the anti-codon, which is responsible for specific mRNA codon recognition, and the 3' end, to which the tRNAs corresponding amino acid is attached (by aminoacyl-tRNA synthetases). tRNAs cope with the degeneracy of the genetic code in two manners: having more than one tRNA (with a specific anti-codon) for a particular amino acid; and 'wobble' base-pairing, i.e. permitting non-standard base-pairing at the 3rd anti-codon position. Lineage: Bacteria; Pseudomonadati; Pseudomonadota; Gammaproteobacteria; Oceanospirillales; Halomonadaceae. The record is from RNAcentral.